Molecule: ribosomal RNA, 21 nt
Filed under: Rhizopus caespitosus
Lineage: Eukaryota; Fungi; Mucoromycota; Mucoromycetes; Mucorales; Rhizopodaceae
Description: partial 28S ribosomal RNA
Source: RNAcentral
UGAAGUCAGGCGGGACUACCC